GAUGAACGCUGGCGGCGUGCCUAAUACAUGCAAGUCGAGCGAAUGGAUUAAGAGCUUGCUCUUAUGAAGUUAGCGGCGGACGGGUGAGUAACACGUGGGUAACCUGCCCAUAAGACUGGGAUAACUCCGGGAAACCGGGGCUAAUACCGGAUAACAUUUUGAACCGCAUGGUUCGAAAUUGAAAGGCGGCUUCGGCUGUCACUUAUGGAUGGACCCGCGUCGCAUUAGCUAGUUGGUGAGGUAACGGCUCACCAAGGCAACGAUGCGUAGCCGACCUGAGAGGGUGAUCGGCCACACUGGGACUGAGACACGGCCCAGACUCCUACGGGAGGCAGCAGUAGGGAAUCUUCCGCAGUGGACGAAAGUCUGACGGAGCAACGCCGCGUGAGUGAUCAAGGCUUUCGGGUCGUAAAACUCUGUUGUUAGGGAAGAACAAGUGCUAGUUGAAUAAGCUGGCACCUUGACGGUACCCAACCAGAAAGCCACGGCUAACUACGUGCCAGCAGCCGCGGUAA
Molecule: ribosomal RNA, 515 nt
Filed under: uncultured bacterium
Lineage: Bacteria
Description: partial 16S ribosomal RNA
Rfam family: Bacterial small subunit ribosomal RNA
Source: RNAcentral